Molecule: ribosomal RNA, 498 nt
Filed under: uncultured bacterium
Lineage: Bacteria
Description: partial 16S ribosomal RNA
Rfam family: Bacterial small subunit ribosomal RNA
Source: RNAcentral
GACGAACGCUGGCGGCGUGCCUAAUACAUGCAAGUCGAGCGGACGGAUGGGAGCUUGCUCCCAGACCGGCAGCGGCGGACGGGGUAGUAACACGUGGGCAACCUUCCUGUAAGACUGGGGUAACUCCGGGAAACCGGGGCUAAUACCGGAUAACUCUUUCCCUCACAUGAGGGAAAGCUGAAAGAUGGCAUCUCGCUACCACUUACAGAUGGUCCCGCGGCGCAUUAGCUAGUUGGUGAGGUAACGGCUCACCAAGGCGACGAUGCGUAGCCGACCUGAGAGGGUGAUCGGCCACACUGGAACUGAGACACGGCCCAGACUCCUACGGGAGGCAGCAGUAGGGAAUCUUCCGCAAUGGACGAAAGUCUGACGGAGCAACGCCGCGUGAGUGAUGAAGGUUUUCGGAUCGUAAAACUCUGUUGUCAGGGAAGAACAAGUACCGGAGUAACUGCCGGUACCUUGACGGUACCUGACCAGAAAGCCACGGCUAACUACGUG